This 252-nucleotide ribosomal RNA is filed under the name uncultured bacterium. RNAcentral's name for it is "partial 16S ribosomal RNA". It matches the Rfam family "Bacterial small subunit ribosomal RNA", at positions 524 to 776 of the family's 1533-position model. The record is from RNAcentral.
UACGUAGGUCCCGAGCGUUGUCCGGAUUUAUUGGGCGUAAAGCGAGCGCAGGUGGUUUAUUAAGUCUGGUGUAAAAGGCAGUGGCUCAACCAUUGUAUGCAUUGGAAACUGGUAGACUUGAGUGCAGGAGAGGAGAGUGGAAUUCCAUGUAUAGCGGUGAAAUGCGUAGAUAUAUGGAGGAACACCGGUGGCGAAAGCGGCUCUCUGGCCUGUAACUGACACUGAAGCUCGAAAGCGUGGGGAGCAAACAGG